GGAGGGAUGGGUGAGUGGUUGAAACCGGCGGUCUUGAAAACCGCUUCCCGCGAAAGUGGGACGGGGGUUCGAAUCCCUCUCCCUCCGCCA
RNAcentral lists this transfer RNA (90 nucleotides) under Acidobacteriota bacterium. Its description in RNAcentral is "Acidobacteria bacterium tRNA-Ser". It matches the Rfam family "tRNA". From Rfam's summary of the family: Transfer RNA (tRNA) molecules are approximately 80 nucleotides in length. RNAcentral also lists the same sequence under 1 other name. The record is from RNAcentral. Lineage: Bacteria; Pseudomonadati; Acidobacteriota.